UACGUAGGUGGCAAGCGUUGUUCGGAAUUAUUGGGCGUAAAGCGCGCGUAGGUGGUUCGUUAAGUUGGAUGUGAAAUCCCCGGGCUCAACCUGGGAACUGCAUUCAAAACUGACGAGCUAGAGUAUGGUAGAGGGUGGUGGAAUUUCCUGUGUAGCGGUGAAAUGCGUAGAUAUCGGGAGGAACACCAGUGGCGAAGGCGGCUUCCUGGCCUGUUCUUGACGCUGAGGCGCGAAAGCUAGGGGAGCAAACGGG
This 253-nucleotide ribosomal RNA is filed under the name uncultured bacterium. RNAcentral describes it as "partial 16S ribosomal RNA". It matches the Rfam family "Bacterial small subunit ribosomal RNA", at positions 524 to 776 of the family's 1533-position model. The record is from RNAcentral.